GUGACCAUCUGCCAAAGCAGAGCAGGUGGGACAGAAGGGAAGGCACCUGAUGCCUCUCUUGCUGUAGUUCACACUCCACAUUUCCACCAAACUGGUCCCUGAAGUGGUCUGCACCAAGAUGCCUGGAGCACAGUCCUGCCCAGUAGCGGUGUGGACACAGGCAGGAAGAAAGAACUUUACCUGCAUUGCUGAGCUGUGAGAGAUCAGUUAAUGAUUGAAGAGGAUUUUGAAGAUGGGAAGUGUGCGGCAAUAAAACUGCAGGUUCCUAAGACAGGCCUGCAAGGCAGAUGGUAGCAGCAGACAGUUCAGGAGAAGUCACAAAGCCCAAAUUCCCCAUGGGCUGAAUGGAGAAGUUUCCAGACCAAUGUCAGGAUGGUGGCCACCAGCAGGAUGCUUGCAAGGGUAUGGAAACUGAACUUAACUAAGCACAACCACCAGAUGAGCACCAGAAUUGGCACAAGAGUGAGAGAGCCAGAAGAAGUUCAGGGUCAAACAGUGGCACGUUCCAGCUGCUGUGUCAGUGCCACACUGCCAGCACAAAGGGCCUGUACCGGUAUCAGUGACUGUCACUGAAUAAAAAAACACUUCCAGUUGAUUCCAUCAUCCUGCCUGUGGCACAGGAAUGCAGGCACACAUAUAACGUGUGUUCACUUACUAUGAUACCAGUAUUUCUGUAUCAAAUGUUUUAAUAAAACUCAACUUUCGAGCA
This 709-nucleotide long non-coding RNA is filed under the name Cyanistes caeruleus (blue tit). RNAcentral describes it as "lncRNA (ENSCCEG00000000988.1)". Lineage: Eukaryota; Metazoa; Chordata; Aves; Passeriformes; Paridae. The record is from RNAcentral.